This 937-nucleotide ribosomal RNA is filed under the name uncultured bacterium. Its description in RNAcentral is "bacterial SSU rRNA". It matches the Rfam family "Bacterial small subunit ribosomal RNA", at positions 525 to 1463 of the family's 1533-position model. The record is from RNAcentral.
CUGCGAGUAUGAGGCGUUAUCGCAUUAUUAGGUUUAAGGGUGCGUAGGCGGCGCAUUAAGUCAGCGGUGAAAGUUUGCAGCUUAACUGUAAAAUUGCCAUUGAUACUGGAGCGCUUGUAAUAUGGUAGAGGUAGGCGGAAUGUGUAGUGUAGCGGUGAAAUGCUUAGAUAUUACACAGAACACCAAUUGCGAAGGCAGCUUACUAUGCCAUCAUUGACGCUGAGGCACGAAAGCGUGGGGAGCGAACAGGAUUAGAUACCCUGGGUAGUCCACGCUGUAAACGAUGAUUACUGGUUGUGUGCGAUACACAGUGCGCGACUGAGGGAAACCAUUAAGUAAUCCACCUGGGGAGUACGUUCGCAAGAAUGAAACUCAAAGGAAUUGACUGGGGGCCCGCACAAGCGGAGGAACAUGUGGUUUAAUUCGAUGAUACGCGAGGAACCCUUACCUGGGCCUUAAAUGUAGAGUGCAUGACUUGGAAACAAGUCUUUCCUUCGGGACUCUUUACAAGGUGCUGCAUGGUUGUCGUCAGCUCGUGCCGUGAGGUGUCGGGUUAAGUCCCAUAACGAGCGCAACCCCUAUCGUUAGUUGCCAGCGGGUCAUGCCGGGGACUCUAAUGAAACUGCCGGUGUAAACCGUGAGGAAGGUGGGGAUGACGUCAAAUCAGCACGGCCCUUAUGUCCAGGGCUACACACGUGUUACAAUGGCCAGUACAAUGGGCAGCUACCCCGCGAGGGGAUGCUAAUCUCCAAAGCUGGUCUCAGUUCGGAUUGGAGUCUGCAACUCGACUGCCAUGAAGUUGGAUUCGCUAGUAAUCGUAUAUCAGCCAUGAUACGGUGAAUACGUUCCCGGGCCUUGUACACACCGCCCGUCAAACCAUGGAAGCUGGGGGUGCCUGAAGUACGUACCGCAGGAGCGUCUAGGUAAAUAGAAUGGG